Molecule: ribosomal RNA, 253 nt
Filed under: uncultured bacterium
Lineage: Bacteria
Description: partial 16S ribosomal RNA
Rfam family: Bacterial small subunit ribosomal RNA
Source: RNAcentral
UACAGAGGGGGCAAGCGUUGUUCGGAAUUAUUGGGCGUAAAGAGCUCGUAGGCGGUUUGUCACGUCUGCUGUGAAAUCCCGAGGCUCAACCUCGGGCCUGCAGUGGGUACGGGCAGACUGGAGUGCGGUAGGGGAGAAUGGAAUUCCUGGUGUAGCGGUGGAAUGCGCAGAUAUCAGGAGGAACACCGAUGGCGAAGGCAGUUCUCUGGGCCGUAACUGACGCUGAGGAGCGAAAGCGUGGGGAGCGAACAGG